GAUGAACGCUGGCGGCGUGCCUAAUACAUGCAAGUCGAGCGAACAGAUAAGGAGCUUGCUCCUUUGACGUUAGCGGCGGACGGGUGAGUAACACGUGGGUAACCUACCUAUAAGACUGGAAUAACUCCGGGAAACCGGGGCUAAUGCCGGAUAACAUGUUGAACCGCAUGGUUCUACAGUGAAAGGCGGCUUUGCUGUCACUUAUAGAUGGACCCGCGCCGUAUUAGCUAGUUGGUGAGGUAACGGCUCACCAAGGCAACGAUACGUAGCCGACCUGAGAGGGUGCUCGGCCACACGGGAACUGAGACACGGUCCAGACUCCUACGGGAGGCAGCAGUAGGGAAUCUUCCGCAAUGGGCGAAAGCCUGACGGAGCAACGCCGCGUGAGUGAUGAAGGUCUUCGGAUCGUAAAACUCUGUUAUUAGGGAAGAACAAAUGCGUAAGUAACUGUGCGCGUCUUGACGGUACCUAAUCAGAAAGCCACGGCUAACUACGUG
RNAcentral lists this ribosomal RNA (497 nucleotides) under uncultured bacterium. RNAcentral describes it as "partial 16S ribosomal RNA". It matches the Rfam family "Bacterial small subunit ribosomal RNA", at positions 28 to 507 of the family's 1533-position model. The record is from RNAcentral.